RNAcentral lists this ribosomal RNA (537 nucleotides) under Cutibacterium acnes. Its description in RNAcentral is "bacterial SSU rRNA". It matches the Rfam family "Bacterial small subunit ribosomal RNA", at positions 832 to 1366 of the family's 1533-position model. The record is from RNAcentral. Lineage: Bacteria; Bacillati; Actinomycetota; Actinomycetes; Propionibacteriales; Propionibacteriaceae.
UUCACGGGUUCGUGCCGUAGCUAACGCUUUAAGUACCCCGCCUGGGGAGUACGGCCGCAAGGCUAAAACUCAAAGGAAUUGACGGGGCCCCGCACAAGCGGCGGAGCAUGCGGAUUAAUUCGAUGCAACGCGUAGAACCUUACCUGGGUUUGACAUGGAUCGGGAGCGCUCAGAGAUGGGUGUGCCUCUUUUGGGGUCGGUUCACAGGUGGUGCAUGGCUGUCGUCAGCUCGUGUCGUGAGAUGUUGGGUUAAGUCCCGCAACGAGCGCAACCCUUGUUCACUGUUGCCAGCACGUUAUGGUGGGGACUCAGUGGAGACCGCCGGGGUCAACUCGGAGGAAGGUGGGGAUGACGUCAAGUCAUCAUGCCCCUUAUGUCCAGGGCUUCACGCAUGCUACAAUGGCUGGUACAGAGAGUGGCGAGCCUGUGAGGGUGAGCGAAUCUCGGAAAGCCGGUCUCAGUUCGGAUUGGGGUCUGCAACUCGACCUCAUGAAGUCGGAGUCGCUAGUAAUCGCAGAUCAGCAACGCUGCGGUGAA